UACGAAGGGGGCUAGCGUUGCUCGGAAUCACUGGGCGUAAAGGGUGCGUAGGCGGGUCUUUUAAGUCAGGGGUGAAAUCCUGGAGCUCAACUCCAGAACUGCCUUUGAUACUGAGGAUCUUGAGUUCGGGAGAGGUGAGUGGAACUGCGAGUGUAGAGGUGAAAUUCGUAGAUAUUCGCAAGAACACCAGUGGCGAAGGCGGCUCACUGGCCCGUUACUGACGCUGAGGCACGAAAGCGUGGGGAGCAAACAGG
This 254-nucleotide ribosomal RNA is filed under the name uncultured bacterium. Its description in RNAcentral is "partial 16S ribosomal RNA". It matches the Rfam family "Bacterial small subunit ribosomal RNA", at positions 524 to 776 of the family's 1533-position model. The record is from RNAcentral.